CCAAGGCUAAAUACUACUGACUGACCGAUAGUGAACCAGUACCGUGAGGGAAAGGCGAAAAGAACCCCUGUGAGGGGAGUGAAAUAGAACCUGAAACCGUGUACGUACAAGCAGUAGGAGCAGGCUUGUCCUGUGACUGCGUACCUUUUGUAUAAUGGGUCAGCGACUUAUAUUCAGUGGCAAGGUUAACCAUCUAGGGGAGCCGUAGGGAAACCGAGUCUUAACUGGGCGUUCAGUCUCUGGAUAUAGACC
Molecule: ribosomal RNA, 252 nt
Filed under: Vibrio alginolyticus
Lineage: Bacteria; Pseudomonadati; Pseudomonadota; Gammaproteobacteria; Vibrionales; Vibrionaceae
Also listed under: 1 other name
Description: partial 23S ribosomal RNA
Rfam family: Bacterial large subunit ribosomal RNA
Source: RNAcentral